Long non-coding RNA from Portunus trituberculatus (swimming crab), 498 nucleotides. RefSeq lists it as uncharacterized. The record is from RefSeq and is a predicted model, not a curated record. The transcript has 3 exons. Lineage: Eukaryota; Metazoa; Arthropoda; Malacostraca; Decapoda; Portunidae.
GUGGUGGCAGUGGUGGUGGCCUCUGGUGUGUUCAGAUAUACUCUUCAGUCUUUCUAUACACUCAGACACAGCCAUACACACUUCAAAAACACUCUUACAUACCCAAAACACUCGUAAACACACAAACACACGCAAUCAAACAGCCCAAAACACAUCCAGAGCAUGUCAUAUACACCUAAUAGAACAUAUACAUCCAAUCACACAUACAUACAGACAUACCCAUACGGCAUAUUCCCGAAAAUUUUCAUCACCAAGCGGCAAGACAAGAGUGAACCAGCAGCGUUAGCCAAGUCAACAUUAUCAGCUCCUCCACAAUCCUCCACACUGCCUUACGCUCAUCUAGUUAAGGCUCAGAUGUGUAGAAAAUAGCAGCAGACGGAAGAAGAAAAGGGAAAUAGAGGAGGAUGAAGAGGAAUUAAGGAGGGAGAGGAGCAGAAGGCUCAGGGGUGUAGAUAGAAGCAAGAGAAGGAAGAAGAAAGGAGAAACAAAGGAGGGGGA